RNAcentral lists this long non-coding RNA (243 nucleotides) under Sinocyclocheilus anshuiensis. Its description in RNAcentral is "lncRNA (ENSSANG00000039568.1)". Lineage: Eukaryota; Metazoa; Chordata; Actinopteri; Cypriniformes; Cyprinidae. The record is from RNAcentral.
ACUGCAGAGGAUCCAUUGGUGAACAAGUGAUAAUAAGGCUAAAUUUGUCCAAAUCUGUUCCAAUAAAGAAACAAACUCAUCUCCUGGCCUGACGGUCCUGCAUUUGCUGCUUGCGCUCUUCGUUCUCACGCAGCCAGUAGGAGACCUCAUCUGUACAGCGGAACAUGUCCGGACACCUCUGCUCCUCCAGAUGAGAUUCUUCAACAGUCUCUUUGGUUUUGACAACAGGGAAUUGGACCCAUG